UCGAGGUGUCGUUUGGACGGACUGUGUGCAGCUCCUGGUAAUCUUUUGCGCCCCAGCGACCAUCGUCGCUAAGGUAAUAAUUGAUUACAUGUCACCAAACGCAGCAGUUCUUCCGCUGAAAGGCAUGGACAUCACUAAAUAUAUCGCAAACUACAGCCUGGAUUUUACCAGCGAAGAAAAUAUAUGGAGUUGUAUUUUCGGUUCAGCCGCUCCAACAAUGUGCCGCUUGUGCUUCGACCAAGUUGUUGCACAAAGGUUGCUAGCAUCCAGAACACUCAAAGACGCCCAAAGGACUGCGAUUACCAGUUCUUUCCUUUUCUCUUGCGGUUAUGGAGCACUCUUCUCAAUGGGCGUGGCAUUGACCAUAUGGUUUCGAGGUUGCGACCCAUUGAUAUCAGGCGCAGUCAAUCGCGUUGAUCAA
Molecule: long non-coding RNA, 421 nt
Organism: Dermacentor silvarum
Lineage: Eukaryota; Metazoa; Arthropoda; Arachnida; Ixodida; Ixodidae
Exons: 3
Source: RefSeq, a predicted model, not a curated record